Molecule: ribosomal RNA, 253 nt
Filed under: uncultured bacterium
Lineage: Bacteria
Description: partial 16S ribosomal RNA
Rfam family: Bacterial small subunit ribosomal RNA
Source: RNAcentral
UACGUAGGGGGCUAGCGUUGUCCGGAAUCAUUGGGCGUAAAGCGCGCGUAGGCGGCCCGGUAAGUCCGCUGUGAAAGUCAAAGGCUCAACCUUUGAAUGUCAGCGGAUACUGCCGGGCUAGAGUCCGGAAGAGGCGAGUGGAAUUCCUGGUGUAGCGGUGGAAUGCGCAGAUAUCAGGAGGAACACCCGUAGCGAAGGCGGCACUCUGGGCCGAUACUGACACUGAGGAGCGAAAGCGUGGGGAGCGAACAGG